This is a long non-coding RNA of Dermatophagoides farinae (American house dust mite), 2294 nucleotides long. RefSeq lists it as uncharacterized. NCBI's taxonomy places the organism in Eukaryota, Metazoa, Arthropoda, Arachnida, Sarcoptiformes, Pyroglyphidae. The record is from RefSeq and is a predicted model, not a curated record.
AAAUCAAAUGUAUCAUUUAUUCAUAUGAGAAAAAAAUGAAUUAUCAAGGGAAUGUGUUUUGGACUGGUUGUUCGUUUGUAAAAUUUAAAAUUAGAAAAAAUUAGUGAAUCUUUGAUAGACAAAAAUAAGGCAGGCAAUUUGUAGGAAAAACAUGGAAACCAAUUUCAUUGAUGAACUUAUCCAUAUCCAUUCCUUAUUGUGUAUUUGAAUAAUAAUAAUGAGAAUAAAGCAUAAUCUAUCUAUUUGCAACAGUAUCCAAAACAUUAUCAACGCUCUGAAUAUCACAUUUGGACCUAUCCACAACAACCAAACAUUGGACAAAGAAUGUAUAAACCGAGUAUUCAAGAACAAAAUUCUGCAAAUCAUUUAGCGUGAUAAUAAUCAACAAAAUGGCUCAACUUCAAACUCUUGAGGCAAAACGAGUAAACCAACAACAACAACGCUCAUCGUAUCGACACCAUCACAGCAGGACAACAGAAACAAGAAAUGUGCGUUAUGUUCAAGGUCGAAUCACAGCAACAGUGUGGCUCAGCAAAAACACGAAAGCAGUUGGCUAAAUUUUUUUUCGGGGUUUUUGUUUUCGGUCAUUUGGUUUCGGUGUUUCGGUUUUCGGGGUUUUUGUUUUUGGUCAUUUGGUUUCGGUGUUUCGGUUUUCGGGGUUUUUGUUUUCGGGAUUUUGACCUACAACCGUGGGGAAAACUUUUGAAUGCCGCUGAAACAGUUCGUCCAGCUCAGAAGUAGAAGUCGCUUCCAAAGAAACGCAUUCUGUGGUAUGUAGCUUUGACAAAGCUUUUUUUCAUUGUUCUAGCUCAGCACACUUUGCUGCAGAUUUUGCAUCCAAUAGAUGGUGCAGUCAUUCAAUAGAACAUAGAAAGAGUUCGAAUUCGAAUUUUUCGAAUUGAUUAUUGUGAUAAUACAUGUGUCACACGUGAUUUUCAUUUUGUGUGUCUGUGUGAGUGUGUAUUUGAUGAUGAAAUCUUGCCUGAAGACUGCAUUCAUUGGAAUGAUUUUUUCUGUUUUUGUUCCCGUGAUCUAUGAUCUACUCAUCGUUUGAAAAGAGCAUUUAAGAUUCAAUGUUGAGUGUCUUCAUGCGAUGAACCCACAAGGUUAUCCUAUAGGAUCUAUAGACACAAACUUGGAUUAAACAUUGGAUCGAUUAUCAUAUUCAUCCGCAAUAUUGAACCACAGAGUGGUUUGCUCAAUGGCACGCGUUUAUUUGUAAAUAGACGCAGCAUUGAAGCUCGAAUAUUGACAAGGAGGCUAUGAUUCAUUUUGCAGCAAAAUGAUCGAGAUCUUAAGCUACCAUUUAAAUUGGUGCGUGGACGAUUUCCUGUCGUAUUGGCUUUUGCUCUGACAAUUAAUUAAUGUUUUAAGGGAAAUCUUUCGAUAAAAUAAGUGUGUACCUUCCUACACCAGCAUUGCAACAUGGAAUGAUUUAUGUGGCUAAAAAGCUAGAUCACAUUAACCGUUCAUAUACUACGAGACAUCAAAGCCUCAGCUGGCCUGCUCCAACGCAAAAAUUUAGCUGCUUGUGUAAUUGCGUUAUAUUGAAUCAGCGCUACAUUCUAGAGCAGUCAUUCUCAAAUUCUCAACCUUUUUUUUGUUGCCACUGAUUUGUGAACAAUUUUUGUGUAGCGGCACAGGGGUGAGAGUGACUGAUUCUAGAGAAAAAGGAUACUGAUGAAAUUUUUUAUUGCCAUGAUUUAUUUCCACUUAAUUUGUGGUUUCUUUUAUACGCACAGUGGCGACUUCUUUUCCACUGAAUAUUUUCUUUGUUCAUUUUUUUUUGAUUUCAUCAUCAUCAAUCUGAAAAAAAUAACACAUAAUCAAUUAUCAAACAAUCAGUGAGAAUAAAAGAAAAUCUUUCCCAUAUAAUGGAUGAUUCUCGUAAUAAUCGAGCUCCGCUAAAGCAAUGGCUAACCCCAGGACAGCCACCAGUUCCGACGCCCAGGCCAAAGCUUCACCAGAAGAAAGUAUUGUUAUUGGUUCACCAUGAGCUUCUUGAGUCGAGCCAAACGAUAACAGCGGAAGUCUUGCCAACAACUGGAGCGAUUCAAAUUGGCAAUUGACCAGAAAGACCAGCCCUUUUUCCAUUACGACAAUGACCCGACUUUUCGUCACCAGUUAUCAUUCGGUUGAAAAACGGAUCAACUCUAUGUUUCAGCAACAAUGAAGUGCAAAUCAUUACACGUUGUCCAAGGUUGACUUCGGACAAAUUGUGGGGCGUCCAACUACCCAUUCUGCUUUUCUUCCCCAAUGAAUGAAGAUGAUUAAAAACUGUCGCACUGGAACAA